AUGUUCUACCCGCUCUCUCCAUCCAUCUCUCCUUCCUGCAGACAUCAACGAGUGUGCCAUGCAAGGCGUGUGCCAAGGGGGCGAAUGUUUGAACACGCAAGGGAGCUUCCGCUGUGCGUGCAAACCGGGACACGUCUUGGGCCCUUCGCGGACUCACUGCGUGCCAGAAAAGGGAGGCGAGAAGAGCCUGUGCUUCCGGCUGGUCAGCCCCGAGCACCAGUGCCAACACCCGCUGCCCACCAAGCUCACCCGCCAGACCUGCUGCUGCAGCGUGGGAAAGGCCUGGGGCGCCCGGUGCGAACGAUGCCCGGCCGACGGCACCGCUUCUUUCCGAGAGAUCUGUCCCGCUGGGAAGGGCUACCACAUCCUGACCUCGCACCAGACCUUGACCAUCCAAGGCGAGAGCGAGUUCACACUCCAGAUCCACCCGGACGGCACCACCGACUUGCAACAACCGCAGCAGCACGUGGAUCUGCCCACCCGCCCGCCUGCAGGCAGCGACUCCCAAGAGCCCGAAGCCAUCACUCCGCCAAUGUUACCCAGCUAUGUCACGACUUCAGAGGAGCAGCUCAUAUUCUACGUCAGCACCCCGCCGUUUGGACUGCGUUACCCUGGUGA
RNAcentral lists this long non-coding RNA (618 nucleotides) under Anolis carolinensis (green anole). RNAcentral describes it as "lncRNA (ENSACAG00000036092.1)". Lineage: Eukaryota; Metazoa; Chordata; Lepidosauria; Squamata; Anolidae. The record is from RNAcentral.